RNAcentral lists this long non-coding RNA (102 nucleotides) under Polistes fuscatus (common paper wasp). RNAcentral's name for it is "uncharacterized LOC122516472". The record is from RNAcentral. Lineage: Eukaryota; Metazoa; Arthropoda; Insecta; Hymenoptera; Vespidae.
CCAGCUUGAAAGGAUGGUGUCGCGAAAUAAAGAAGAAAUUGCUGCGAUUUGCUAUUUUCUCCAAGAACACGAGAUGAGUGGGACGGUUCUGGUCCACUAAAA